Molecule: non-coding RNA, 297 nt
Organism: Pelobates cultripes (western spadefoot toad)
Lineage: Eukaryota; Metazoa; Chordata; Amphibia; Anura; Pelobatidae
Source: the annotation of a GenBank genome assembly
CCUGCUGAGCACAAUUAUGAUAUUGGCAAUAGAGAAUUGUUGGCCAUUAUUCUAGCUCUCAAGGAGUGGCGACAUCUUCUAGAGGGUUCCAAGGACCCCCUUUUGAUCAUUAUUGAUCACAAAAACCUUGCUUACAUAGGAGAUGCUAAACGAUUAUCUUCUAGACGAGCUAGAUGGUCUCUAUUUCUUUCUCGCUUUAAUUUUCUUAUCACCUACAGACCUGGUUCUAAAAAUGUCAAGGCCGAUGCCUUGUCCAGGCAGUUUGAUACUGAGGCUAUACUAGAGCAAGAAACGUCC